GACGAACGCUGGCGGCGUGCUUAACACAUGCAAGUCUAACGGAAAGGCCCUGCUUUUGUGGGGUGCUCGAGUGGCGAACGGGUGAGUAACACGUGGGUAACCUGCAAUUGCCUGUGGGGUAACUUAAGGAAGCUGAGGGUAAUACGGGAUAGGAGCUAUUGCUGCAUGGUGGGGGUGGGAAGGUUUCGGCGGUUGGGAAUGGACUCGCGGCUUAUCAGCUUGUUGGUUGGGUAGUGGCUUAGCAAGGCCUUGAAGGGUGGCCGGGCUGGGAGGGUAACCUGCCACGCUGCGACUGGAAUGCGGCCCAGACUCCUACGGGACGCAGCAGAGGGGUAGAGUGCACAAUGGGCGGAACCCUGAUGCAGCAACGCCGCGUGCGGUAAGUCAUCCUGCGCUUUGUAUACCACUGUCGCCUGUGACGAAGCGUGAGUGACGGUAAUGGGUAAAGAAGCACCGGCUAACUACGUG
RNAcentral lists this ribosomal RNA (468 nucleotides) under uncultured bacterium. RNAcentral's name for it is "partial 16S ribosomal RNA". It matches the Rfam family "Bacterial small subunit ribosomal RNA", at positions 28 to 507 of the family's 1533-position model. The record is from RNAcentral.